AGCGAACGCUGGCGGCAGGCCUAACACAUGCAAGUCGAACGGAUCCUUCGGGAUUAGUGGCGGACGGGUGAGUAACACGUGGGAACGUGCCCUUUGGUUCGGAACAACUCGGGGAAACUUGAGCUAAUACCGGAUGUGCCCUUCGGGGGAAAGAUUUAUCGCCAUUGGAGCGGCCCGCGUCUGAUUGGCUAGUUGGUGAGGUAAAGGCUCACCAAGGCGACGAUCAGUAGCUGGUCUGAGAGGAUGAUCAGCCACAUUGGGACUGAGACACGGCCCAAACUCCUACGGGAGGCAGCAGUGGGGAAUCUUGCGCAAUGGGCGAAAGCCUGACGCAGCCAUGCCGCGUGAAUGAUGAAGGUCUUAGGAUUGUAAAAUUCUUUCACCGGGGACGAUAAUGACGGUACCCGGAGAAGAAGCCCCGGCUAACUUCGUGCCAGCAGCCGCGGUAA
RNAcentral lists this ribosomal RNA (449 nucleotides) under uncultured bacterium. RNAcentral describes it as "partial 16S ribosomal RNA". It matches the Rfam family "Bacterial small subunit ribosomal RNA", at positions 29 to 523 of the family's 1533-position model. The record is from RNAcentral.